RNAcentral lists this ribosomal RNA (1038 nucleotides) under Triticum aestivum (bread wheat). RNAcentral's name for it is "partial small subunit ribosomal RNA". The record is from RNAcentral. Lineage: Eukaryota; Viridiplantae; Streptophyta; Magnoliopsida; Poales; Poaceae.
AUGAAUGUGGCGUUGCUAACUAAGUGGUGGUGGCGUCUUGCCCAAAACGAGUCGGGGCUCUGGGCAGACAUCCUUCGAGCUAAAUAUUUCCCGGAGGGGAAUUUGUUCAAGGCUAAAAUCAACGGUUCGGCCUUUUGGAACGGGAUCCAAGCGGUUCGACCGGCGUUUUCAGUUGGUGCGCAGUUCCGGGUAAACAACGGCAAGUCCACACGGUUCUGGCUCGACCAUUGGUGGGGUCAGGGGCCGUUAUGGCAUUCUCAUCCGGAAUUGUACCAAUUGGCAACGGACACUACCAUUUUCGUGGCCGAUGCUCUACGCGUCCACCCUCCAGCCAUAUCGUUCAUCAGGAAUCUAGAGCCCAGGGAGGCUGCAAGCUGGGACGCUCUGUCGGUCGACUUGGGUGGUCUGAACCGUAGCACUGGGGCGGACACGAUCUCGUGGAAGUUGACCGCUUCUAAGAGAUUUUCGGUCAAGUCCUUAUAUGACAAGUUAUCUUCGGGACCUACAUUAGAUAUAGCUAGGGGGCUAUGGAAGGCUGCCAUUCCUCUCAAAAUCAAGAUCUUCUUUUGGCAAAUGUUUCGCAACCGCUUACCUACGUCGGACAACGUUGCCAAACGAAAUGGGCCGGCGGACGGCACGUGCACCACUUGCGGUUUAGGGGAAAACGCGAACCACGUUUUCUUUGGUUGUGUGCUUGCUAGAUUUGCGUGGAGUGCGGUGAGAGACGCAUUCAAUCAAAAUUGGAACCCUCAAUCUAGCCACGAUAUGCUGUCUAUCUUAACGGCGCAAAGAGGGGCCAAUGCUAGGAUAGUUUGGAGAUGCGUUGGGGCGCUUCUUUGGUCCCUCUGGACGGUUCGUAACAAAAUUACGAUUGAACACAAGUUCCCGACCCACCCCGCUGAUAUUAUCUUCAAAUGCCAUAUUUUCCUUCAGGUUUGGGCUCCACUGGGGAAGAAGCGUGACAUCGAGCGCAUGAAAGAGGCCAUGGAGCUGAUCAAGACAACCAUGAUGAAGGCGCGGCACGGGACGAUGGCUUGA